AGGUAAGCUACUAAGAGCGAAUGGUGGAUGCCUUGGUUGGUAGAGGCGAUGAAAGACGUGCUAGACUGCGAUAAGUCUCGGGGAGUUGUCAAGGAGCUUUGAUCCGGGAAUUUCUGAAUGGGGAAACCCAGUAUAUAGUGAUAUAUACUACCUAUAUGGAGCAAACGUGGGGAAUUGAAACAUCUUAGUACCCACAGGAAAAGAAAUCAAAUGAGAUUACGAAAGUAGCGGCGAGCGAAAUCGUAAAAGGGCAAACCACUAGUUUACUAGUGGGGUUGUAGGACUGUAACAUAGACUAAAAAGAGUUAAUAGAAUAAUCUGGAAAGUUUAAGCAUAGAGGGUGAUACUCCCGUAUAUGAAAACUCUUUUUUACUUAACAGUAUCCUGAGUAGGGCGAGGCACGUGAAACCUUGUCUGAAUCUGGGAAGACCACUUUCCAACCCUAAAUACUACUACCAAACCGAUAGUGAACAAGUACCGUGAGGGAAAGGUGAAAAGAACGGGGGUGACCCGAGUGAAAUAGAACCUGAAACCAUUUGCUUACAAUCAUUCAGAGCACGAUUCUUUAUGACGUGUGAUGGACUGCCUUUUGCAUAAUGAGCCUGCGAGUUGUGAUAUCUGGCAAGGUUAAGGAAAUCCGGAGCCGUAGCGAAAGCAAGUCUUAAUAGGGCGUUUAGUCAGAUAUUGCAGACCCGAAACGAAGUGAUCUAUCCAUGAGCAGGUUGAAACCGGUGUAAGAGCCGGCGGAGGACCGAACCCGCUGACGUUGAAAAGUCUUGGGAUGACUUGUGGAUAGGGGUGAAAGGCCAAUCAAACUUCGUGAUAGCUGGUUCUCUCCGAAAUAUAUUUAGGUAUAGCGUUAUGUAGUAAUUAGAGGGGGUAGAGCACUGAAUGGGCUAGGGCAUACACCAAUGUACCAAACCCUAUCAAACUCCGAAUACCUUUAAUGUAAUCAUAGCAGUCAGGCGGCGAGUGAUAAAAUCCGUCGUCAAAAGGGGAACAACCCAGACUACCGACUAAGGUCCCAAAAUCUUAUUUAAGUGGAAAACGAUGUGAAGUUACUUAAACAACCAGGAGGUUGGCUUAGAAGCAGCCAUCCUUUAAAGAUAGCGUAAUAGCUCACUGGUCUAGUGAUUUUGCGCGGAAAAUAUAACGGGGCUAAAAUAAGUACCGAAGUCGUAGACUUGCACACAACUUAGUUCUUUAUAAAACAAAGUGUAUAAGUUAUAUUUAAAACUAGCGAUAGCGUUUUUGCAAAGCAAAAAGUUUUAAAAUAUCUUAAG
Molecule: ribosomal RNA, 1283 nt
Filed under: Campylobacter ureolyticus
Lineage: Bacteria; Pseudomonadati; Campylobacterota; Epsilonproteobacteria; Campylobacterales; Campylobacteraceae
Description: partial 23S ribosomal RNA
Rfam family: Bacterial large subunit ribosomal RNA
Source: RNAcentral